CCUGGCUGGGCUUGCCCACAUGCACUGCCAGGACCACCUCCCCAGCAACUGCCUGCCACUAUUUCACCACGGCUGGUUUAUGUUCAUUCUCAUGAUCAUCCUGACCACCUUCCUCUGUGGCCUCAACAACAUCUAUAUGUCCUACCAGGAGACGGAGCAGCUGGGCAAGUAUGCAGGGGCAGAGGCAGGAUGGGAGGUGGAGAGCCUGGGACCUUGCAGCUUGGAGCCCUAGUGAUCUCUCCUUUUUCCCUCCCUCCCUCAUUUAUUCACUCAACUAAUUCUCUUGUUUGCUCACUCCCUCUUUGAUUCUGUCACUCUUUCUUUUGUUCGUUUAUACAUUCAUUAAUUUACUAAUUUUCUCCUCAAACUUUUUAUUUUGAAAAAUGUCAAUCCUAUGAAAACUACAGUGGAUACCCCUAAACCUUUCACCCAGCUUCACCAAUUGUUAAUGUUUUACCACACCUGCUUGAUAUGUUGCUCCCUUUAUUCUUUUUUUUUUCCUGAAACACUUAAAAGGAAAUUGUAAAUACAAUGACACUUCAUCCCUAAACAGUUCAGGAUGUGUUUUAAGAACAUAACCACAAAAGCAUUAUCAUACUCAAAAAAUUUAACAUCAUACCAUUAUAUAUAUGUAUAUAUUUAUAUUUAUAUAUAUUAAAUAUAUAAAUAUGUAUAUUUUUUGAGACAGAGUCUCACUCUGUUGCCCAGCUGGAGUGCAGUGGCUCAAUCUCAGCUCACUGCAACCUCUGCCUCCCGGGUUCAAGUGAUUCUCCUGCCUCACCUUCCUGAGUAGCUGGGAUUACAGGCACACCACCAUGCCUGGCUAAUUUUUGUAUUUUUAGUAGAGACGGAGUUUCACCAUGUUGGCCAGGCUAGUCUUGAACUCCUGACCUUAUGAUCCGCACGCCUCGGCCUCCCAAAGUGCUAGGAUUAUAGGCAUGAGCCACCGCGCCCGGCUUCAUGCCCUUAUAUUAUUUACUAUACAGUCCUUAUUGAUAUUUCCCCAGUUGCCUGGAAAAAAGACUCUCUAGUUUUAAAAAUCAGAUAUCCAAUCUAGGAUCAUAUGUUACAUUUUGUUGUGAUAUCCCUUUGGCCUCCUUUAAUCUCGAACACACCCCAACCUUCUCUUUGUCUCGCAUGAAGAGUGUAGACCAAAUUGGAUUUAUCUAUUAUUAUUGAUCAUGGCCAGGCGCCGGUGGCUGCGCCUGUAAUCCCAGCACUUUGGGAGGCGAGGCAGAAGGCGGAUCAUGAGGUCAGGAGAUGAGACCAUCCCUGGCUAACAUGGUGAAACCCGUCUCUACUAAAAAUACAAAAAAUGGCGGUAGCGUUGGCUCAAACCUGUAAUCCCAGCACUUUGGGAGGCGAGGCGAGGUGGAUCGCGAGGUCAGGAGAAUCAGACCAUCCUGGCUAACACAGUGAAACCCGUCUCUACUAAAAUACGAAACUAGCCCGAGGCCAGUGGCGAGCCUGUGGUCCCAACUGGGAGGCUGAGGGCAGGAGAAUAAAGUAAGCCGGAGGCGGAGCUUGCAGUGAGCUGAGAUCCCGGCACUGCACUCCAGCCUGGGCGACAGAGCAAGACUCCGUCUCAAAAAAAAAAAAAAAAAAAAAAAUACAAAAAUUGACCAGCUGUGGUGAGGCCUGCAGGUGUAGCUACUCGGGAGGUUGAGGCAGGAGAAUGGCAUGAACCUGGGAGGCGGAGCUUGCAGUGAGCCGAGAUUGUGCCACUGCACUCCAGCUUGGGCAACAGAGCAAGACUCCCGUCUCAAAAAAAAAAAAAAUUAUUGAUCAUAAUUAGAUUCAAGUUAAGCAGUUUUGGCAAGAACAUGACCUAGCUGAUUGUGUGUACUUUCCACUGCAUCACAGCAGAAGGUGCAUGAUGUCAGUGUGGCCCAUUGGUGAGGCCCAUUGCUCUAGCGAAGUCUUCAUUGUAAUGGUACCAGGGAAGCCCUUUUAGUAACAGGAAGCUAUGUUGAGACGGUGUGACAACACUGCUCCCUCAAAAGCUUUCACCCAGUGGAUUUAGCAUCCAUAGAUGAUUUUUACCUGAACUGGCUAUUAUAACAGUGGUUUCAAGAUCGUGAUUUUCUGCCUCUGUCAUUUCUUCUACAUUUAUUCACUGGCAUUCUUCUGUAAAGAAGUGCUUUCACCUACUUUCUUUUUUUUUUUUUUUUUUGAGUCAGAGUCUCACUCUGUCACCCUGGCUGGAAUGCAGUGGUGUGAUCUUGGUUCACUGCAACCUCCACGUCCUGCCAGGUUCAAGCAAUUCUCCUGCCUCAACCUCUUGAGUAGCUGGGAUUACAGGCCUGUGCCGCCAUACCUGGCUAAUUUUUGUAUUUUUAGUGGAGACGGGGUUUCACCAUGUUAGCCAGGAUGGUCUUGAACUACUGCCCUCAGAUGAUCCGCCCACCUUGGCCUCCCAAAGUGCUGGGAUUACAGGCAUGAGCCACUGCAUCCAGCCUUUCCUCUUUUUUUGAAUAUCACUAUGGACUCAAUAUGAUAAUCCAUUACAGUCAUUAUUCUUUUGGGUGUUCGAUUCUUUCUAAAUGUGGCUAAUAAUUAAUUGGUAUAUUUGUGUAUUCACUCAUGUAUUGUUCAUUCACUCCCUUUAUUUAUUUAUUUAUUUAUUUAUUUAUUUAAGAUGGGGUCUUGCUCUGUUGCCUAGGCUAGAGUGCAGCGGCGCGAUCUCGGUUCAUUGUAGUCUCUGCCUCCCAGGUUCAAGCAAUUCUCCCACCUCAGCCUCCUGAGUAGCUGGGAUUACAGGCACACCACCACACCUGGCUAAUUUUUGUAUUUUUAGCAGAGACGGGGUUUCACCAUGUUGGCUGGGCUGGUCCUGAACUCUUGACCUCAGGUCAUCCACCCUCUUCGGCUUCUCAAAGUGCUGGGAUUAUAGGCGUGAGCCACCGUGCCCAGCCCACUCAUUCACUUUUAAAAAAAUUUUUUUCUUUUUUUUAGAGACAAGGUCUUGCUCUGUCACCCAGGCUAGGGUGCAAUGGUAUGAUCAUGGCUCAUUGAAGCCUCGACUUCCUAGCCUCAAGCCAUCCUCCCACCUCAGCCUUCC
Long non-coding RNA from Papio anubis (olive baboon), 3061 nucleotides. The record is from Ensembl. NCBI's taxonomy places the organism in Eukaryota, Metazoa, Chordata, Mammalia, Primates, Cercopithecidae.